CCCUGAGGGCUCAAAGAAGGGGAAACAGAGGUCCAGACAAGUGCAGAUUUUGUUGAAGCUGGUGAGCUCUGCCUACAUGAGGACAGUUGCUCACCGGUGACCUCAGCAGCAUCCUCCAACACAUCCACCUCUAGUUUCCUGGCAUCUUUAACUGAAGCACUUUCAGCCUGGCUCGUGAGCACACUCCUCCCCUGAGCCUCAUGAGCAGUUCAGGACAACACAGACAAGCUAGGCUAUCUACAAGAAUCAUACUUGGAUUUGAAAGGAGGGCAAUAAGGAGCGGAGGCGCCAACUGCUCAGACGGCACAGCGUUCCUGGGUGCUCUGUGCAAGACCUCAGGACCACAUUAUCUGCCGAGCUUCCCAUAAAUCUGAACUUAGUCACCGGUGACUUCGGUUAGUCGUCACAAAUGUAGUUAGGGAAGAGCUGCUCGGCCCAGAUUUUGCAGGGGUGAGGGUGUGGAAAUAAUCUUUAAAAUUCAGCUAUAUAAAACAUGUGCUGUAAUAAAAUGUAACUGCAGAACAUCAG
Molecule: long non-coding RNA, 528 nt
Organism: Mus musculus (house mouse)
Lineage: Eukaryota; Metazoa; Chordata; Mammalia; Rodentia; Muridae
Product: predicted gene, 51858
Exons: 3
Source: RefSeq, a predicted model, not a curated record